GGGUUGCAUACAUUGAGUAUGAAUUUGGGGUAUAAAAGAAAAGGGCAAAUUAUCGCCAGGUAUUGCACAUCACUUGGUAUCUGCUGAACUAGAACGACGCAGUUUCCAAGAUGAAGUACAGUCAACUAUGUGCUGUAACGUUGGUGUUGAGUCUCUUGGUGGGCAGUUCUUUGGCACAGACAGGAUUUUCGUUAACCAAUACAGGUAUCGCUGGUACAGCUCUGGGGCUUGGGGCCCUUUACUAUCUAUACAAUGAGAAUAACCGGGUACCGCAAAUCCCACCAAUAUUUCCUCCUCCAAUGCAGUUUGGGCCAACCUGGGGUCCAAACCCUUUCUGGCGACCACCUCCUCCUCCUCCACCAUUUUAUGGACGGCCUUACAGAGGUUGAAACGAACAAUCUGUUCAAAGUAUGAAGGUAUGGAGUGACGGGCAACAAUUGGACAUGGACAUGGGAUACAGGGAUCAUUGAAAAGGACAGACGAUUGCUCUAACAUCAGUUGCAAGAUUAUCAUUUUCACCAUUAAAUUGUAUAUACUUA
Mizuhopecten yessoensis (Yesso scallop) is the source of this 539-nucleotide long non-coding RNA. RefSeq lists it as uncharacterized. The record is from RefSeq and is a predicted model, not a curated record. Lineage: Eukaryota; Metazoa; Mollusca; Bivalvia; Pectinida; Pectinidae. The transcript is spliced from 3 exons.